Molecule: ribosomal RNA, 446 nt
Filed under: uncultured bacterium
Lineage: Bacteria
Description: bacterial SSU rRNA
Rfam family: Bacterial small subunit ribosomal RNA
Source: RNAcentral
CCAGACUCCUACGGGAGGCAGCAGUGGGGAAUAUUGGACAAUGGGGGAAACCCUGAUCCAGCGACGCCGCGUGAGUGAAGAAGUAUUUCGGUACGUAAAGCUCUAUCAGCAGGAAAGAAAAUGACGGUACCUGACUAAGAAGCCCCGGCUAACUACGUGCCAGCAGCCGCGGUAAUACGUAUGGGGCAAGCGUUAUCCGGAUUUACUGGGUGUAAAGGGAGCGUAGGCGGCAGGGCAAGCCUGAUGUGAAAGGCCGGGGCUCAACCCCGGGACUGCAUUGGGAACUGCCCCGCUCGAGUGCCGGAGGGGCAGGCGGAAUUCCUAGUGUAGCGGUGAAAUGCGUAGAUAUUAGGAGGAACACCAGUGGCGAAGGCGGCCUGCUGGACGGUGUACUGACGCUGAGGCUCGAAAGCGUGGGGAGCAAACAGGAUUAGAUACCCUGGUAC